UGGGGAAUAUUGCGCAAUGGGGGCAACCCUGACGCAGCAACGCCGCGUGCGGGACGACGGCCUUCGGGUUGUAAACCGCUUUCAGCAGGGAAGAUAGUGACGGUACCAGCACAAGAAGCCCCGGCUAACUACGUGCCAGCAGCCGCGGUAAUACGUAGGGGGCGAGCGUUAUCCGGAUUCAUUGGGCGUAAAGCGCGCGCAGGCGGCUCUUCAAGCGGAACCUCUAACCCCGGGGCUCAACCUCGGGCCGGGUUCCGAACUGGAGGGCUCGAGUGCGGUAGAGGCAGGCGGAAUUCCCGGUGUAGCGGUGGAAUGCGCAGAUAUCGGGAAGAACACCGAUGGCGAAGGCAGCCUGCUGGGCCGGCACUGACGCUGAGGCGCGAAAGCUAGGGGAGCGAACAGG
This 403-nucleotide ribosomal RNA is filed under the name Verrucomicrobiota bacterium. RNAcentral describes it as "Verrucomicrobia bacterium partial 16S ribosomal RNA". It matches the Rfam family "Bacterial small subunit ribosomal RNA", at positions 355 to 776 of the family's 1533-position model. Lineage: Bacteria; Pseudomonadati; Verrucomicrobiota. The record is from RNAcentral.